GGCUUGUAACUCAGUUGGUAGAGUACUUGCUUUGCAUGCACAAGGCCCUGGGUUCCAUCCCCAGCACCA
This 69-nucleotide transfer RNA is filed under the name Marmota monax (woodchuck). RNAcentral's name for it is "tRNA.Ala". The stretch from base 5 to 66 matches the Rfam family "tRNA", at positions 6 to 65 of the family's 71-position model. From Rfam's summary of the family: Transfer RNA (tRNA) molecules are approximately 80 nucleotides in length. Their secondary structure includes four short double-helical elements and three loops (D, anti-codon, and T loops). The record is from RNAcentral. Lineage: Eukaryota; Metazoa; Chordata; Mammalia; Rodentia; Sciuridae.